GUCAGAGUGGCAUAGUGGUUUGAGCAUUGGACUUUGACUCUGGAGAUCAGGGUUUGAUUCCUAAUCUGCUGUGAAA
Molecule: non-coding RNA, 76 nt
Organism: Phrynosoma platyrhinos (Desert horned lizard)
Lineage: Eukaryota; Metazoa; Chordata; Lepidosauria; Squamata; Phrynosomatidae
Source: the annotation of a GenBank genome assembly